Molecule: long non-coding RNA, 820 nt
Filed under: Bos taurus (domestic cattle)
Lineage: Eukaryota; Metazoa; Chordata; Mammalia; Artiodactyla; Bovidae
Description: long non-coding RNA NONBTAT023822
Source: RNAcentral
CAAAGACCUACGUAUUUAGAAUGAAAAACUGACACAGAUCCAGAGAGUGUGUAUCAGCAAAAGAAUUUCAUUUUCCUAAGACAGAAAAAUGUUGUUGUUGGGCUAUAGGCAAGUUUUAUUGAUCAUGUGUAUCCUGUCUCCUUCCAAAGACAGAUGAGUUGUGGUAGAUAGCUCUGAGAAAAAAAGAAAGAAGAUUCCUUUCUGAGUUAUGCAGACGCUCUAAGUGGCUUCAUUAAUAAUAAACCUACCAGAACUGUGAUUUCUAAAAAGUUUCUCCCUUGGACUCUAAAACAAUAUCCUAUGACUCAUCACUACCAACUGAGCUAUACACACACACUCAGGGAAGAGACAGAAAGCUGAAGAGGGGGCCAGCCCAGCAACAGCGAUCAACCACGUGCCUCAGGAAAGAUUCUCUAAGUCUCUUAAUCAAACGUUUCACAUGACUGGCUAAUCUUUGGGACCGCAAAAGCACUUGGCAAGUGCACUCCCAAGCACUGGCAGGGAAUAAAUACCCUAAACCUAGUUACAGCAAAUGUUUUCCCCAAAGAGCAUGCUGGCCCUUCAGCUUCUCAGAAAUCUGUUCCCCAGUCAACUCUCAACUCUCCAAAUUAAGCAGAAAAUUCAUGGAGGGAAAAAAAAAAUCUACUGAUAAUAUAAAAAGUUCCCUUUAGUGAACUUACUUUCUUUCCUUAAUUAGAACAGUACUUAGAAAAAAAAAACAACAACAACUCUGAGCACCUUCACCUCUAACAUCCUCGACAUCUCUGCUACAGGGGAUAGAAAGAUGCUAAGACAGAUAUGGGCUUCUGGAUCACACAAG